Molecule: ribosomal RNA, 509 nt
Filed under: Rhinosardinia amazonica (Amazon spinejaw sprat)
Lineage: Eukaryota; Metazoa; Chordata; Actinopteri; Clupeiformes; Clupeidae
Description: partial 12S ribosomal RNA
Rfam family: Bacterial small subunit ribosomal RNA
Source: RNAcentral
GCCUGCCGUAAACUUAGACGUUCCUCCACAACGGACGUCCGCCAGGGGACUACGAGCGCCAGCUUAAAACCCAAAGGACUUGGCGGUGCUUCAGACCCCCCUAGAGGAGCCUGUUCUAGAACCGAUAACCCCCGCUCAACCUCACUACUUCUUGCUCUCCCUGCCUAUAUACCGCCGUCGUCAGCUUACCCUGUGAAGGCACUACAGUAAGCAAAAUGGGCCACGCCCAAAACGUCAGGUCGAGGUGUAGCGUACGAAGUAGGAAGAAAUGGGCUACAUUAUCUGAAGCAGAUUAUUUUACGGAAGAUCACCUGAAACUUGGUGGCCCUAAGGUGGAUUUAGCAGUAAGAAAGGAAUAGAGCGCCUUUCUGAAGCCGGCUCUGAAGCGCGCACACACCGCCCGUCACUCUCCCCAACAACACGAACAUUUGCUAUUUAACAAGCCAACAGCCCCAAGGGGAGGCAAGUCGUAACAUGGUAAGUGUACCGGAAGGUGCACUUGGAUUAAC